AUAUGCCUAUAUAAUGGAUUUAAUUUCCUUUUGUCACCCCCAUAUCUAGAAUUUUCUUCAUAAAUUAGUAAGUAAUCUAGGGCCAGCAUUAUGUUUGCUAGACCUGGUUUUGGCUCAGCACUUAAAGUUAAAAGUUUCUCUCUUUUUUCUUGGACUUGUAGCUGCCUAAAGCAUCAGUCUCUCUGUUAUUUUUUUCUAUUUUCUUUUUUCCCCCAUCAGUCUUUUAGCCAUUUGAAGCCAAAAUUCUUAGUUUCUGCCCUGGUUGAUAAGAGAAAAAGGGGAAGGAGGAAAAGGGCCCGGUGCCACUAAAUAGUCAACUCUCUCUGGGAAGGACCCCAUUACAAGACAAUGAGUCCCUCUCCUCUCUUUUUUUCUAUUUUCUGUAAAAUCUUUAAAAUGGCUUGCAUUUCUAGGCAUCUAAUAUUUAUACACUUUUUAUUUCCUAUCCUCACUCUCCGGAUGUUUACUGGACAAGAUCCCAGUGGUAUGGAGUAGCACUCUGCUCUUUUCACUUUACACAUUGUUAUCAAAAAAGGAAAAAAUUAAUGGUAAUGAGAGUUAGUCCAAACUGUACCACUUUGUAAGCCCGCCACCAUUUUGCAGACCUUGAUCAAAGGUCUGCAAACAUUCCACGGGAUUUCGGGCCAUGAGAAACAUCCUCCUAACCACCUGACCAUGAGGCAGAAGAACAUCCUUAUCAUACCCAGCCGGGCAAAGGCCCAAGGCAUUUCACUAUCACAUUCUGCAGGAACAAGUGCCAAACCGCCUCAUCAUGGGAACAUGUUAUCAACAUUUUCCCAGGCAACAGGCCAUGCCCCACUUCCAGACCUCCCCCACCCAGGCCUGUAAUUGCCAAAGCCUGUAAGCAGUGGUGGGCACUGGCACCGCUGCAGGUUUAUGCUAGACGUAAAUGCCUGCAUUUGCUGUUGAGAUGCUCUCUCUCUCUUCGAGUGUCUUUCUUUAACCUCACUUUCUCUUCAAAACCGAACAAUGAGUUCCGCUUGCACCGGCCUUGUAGGCAGCUGCUUCUCUUUCCAGGGUGACCCGAUCGACCUCUGAGGGGCUGGGAGAAUGAGAAGUGAUAGCACCAAGGAAUGCAGCAACCAAGGAGGCGCUGGCCUCAGCAGCACCUGUUCUCUCAAGGUGUCCUGGACACUCAGGUCAAAUAUUGUUUCAGAGAGAUCCCGCCUGACCCACUCUGCAAAGCAGAAUGCCCAGGUGCAGCCUGUCUCACCAGCACAACUCAGGUCAGACUAGGAACAGCAGGAGAUCAAUAGCCAUGUGUGAGAAGUGGAUUCUUCACUGGACUGCACUACUCCAGCGUUAGAAGGGCUCUGUCAUGUAGCAGGCAUUUCAACAAUAACUUUAAAAUUUUCAGACCCCAACUUACCACCAGCUGAGAUCCUUUUCCUGUGCCCAGUUCCUGGAUUCUUGUGGAGCAACUCAGGCUCUAAGGACUUGUCAAAAGAUGAAGUUACACGUUUGGUUUUAAGAUCUUAAUUGGCUUUGUAAUAAUAGAAUCAGACAGUCUUUCAUGCUAUAAAAUAACACGAAUAUUUUGAUGGUUAGAGCCGAGAAAGUUGGUUUUAUAGGGACAGGAGGGCUAAAGAAAGCAGAAACAAGAACAAAAAAUUGAUUCGUCAUUUGGACGUUGCAUUUUUCUGUGCGGCAGGAAUAGAGAGACAGCAAUAAGGAACAACUGAUUGAUUGAAGUCAAGUUACCACAGAUUACUUUUUUUUUGUUUGGUGAAGAUGAAAGCAGAGAGAACUUCAUUUUCAUGUCCACUGAAACUGGCCUGUUUUAGGAAUUUGUCCAUUUUCUCUCUCUCCUGAUUUCUCAAAAGUUCAGGUAAACAAAUUAGUUUUGGUUUGGUGAUGUGGAGUUUUAGUAUGACUGACUCCAUUUGGUUUGCUCUGUAGAACCUAGUGCAGUAGGUCAGUCCAAACCACUUACUUCCUGUUUUUAUAGAACAGGUUUCAGCAGAGACGUAGGUUGAAGGACACAGGGACAAUGGAGCUGGAAUCAACCCUGACACAAACGCGGGGUUUCUUACCCUUCCCAGAAGACACCUUGGAGAUGUUGUCAGACCAUUUCGCUUAGAAACUUAUGUGUCUGAAUGUUCCUUCACCUCCAGCCCUCUGUGGGAGACCAGAGUCCAUCCUUCCAAAUAUGAAAGGCCAAGGAAUCUGAGAGUCCAGGCCCUUUCUUUUCAGAGAUUCAGGAAAAUGAAAGAAACAAUUACCAAGGUGAGAAGAAUGAGAGGACAACAAUAAAUAUCAAAGAUGCAUGGUUAAACAAAAACUCGAUUCUCUACUUUCACAAUCCUUCUGACCAAAUGUAGUUUUUCUCCGCACCAAGAAAUUCUCCAAUUCUCUGGGGACACCAACUGGGCCACCUGCAAUUAAAAAUCCAGUUCUGAUUCUGUCUACCUGGAUUUAUCAUCAGAUCUCAAGAGUUAAAGGGCUCACUCCCACAAACUGUUCUCACAUCAGACGUCUGUUGCAAGUCCCAGGUGACCACUUGUACUUCUGCCUGACAGGCUAUAAACUGGGUGUUCCAAUGACACCAAUAAAUUGCUAGAAUGGCACAUAGAACUCAGGAAAGCACUUUGUUUAUGUUUGCUGCUUUAUAUAAAGAAUACACCUCAGGAAUAAUCCAUUGGAAAGAAGCAUAUGGCAGGGAGAUGCUCUAUGGACCACUGAUCUGAGGAGAUGGACUCUUUCUGAGUUUUUAAACACCAUCAGAAUGUUGUUCUCAAGCCCAAGGAAUAGAACCAUGAAAAACAGUAGAAAGCCACAAAACAAGAGUCAACUAUUUUCUAGUUUCUCUCUGAUUCACUGGAUGUUUUCAAUGAUAAGGGCCUUCUUGAAAGUGACCACAGAAUGGCUGCCACUGUUCUGGACAUCACAUCAACAGGCCCUCCUGAGCCAGAAGCAUGAGACAAGCAGAAAAUGUGACUCAUUCACAUGCUUCUUUCAUUUUACCACAAAGGGAAACCUAGUCCAGAGUCUCUUCAGGACCUCUUCUUGUCUUUCAUUGCCAGAGCAUGCCAUCUCUAGACCAAUCAAUGGCCAAGAAAUAACAAAAAUACCAAUACAUAAAAAUAAAGGUCAGGGACAGUGGCUCACACCUGUAGUCCCAGCAUUUU
This is a long non-coding RNA of Macaca mulatta (Rhesus monkey), 3149 nucleotides long. RefSeq lists it as uncharacterized. The record is from RefSeq and is a predicted model, not a curated record. Lineage: Eukaryota; Metazoa; Chordata; Mammalia; Primates; Cercopithecidae.